UUAAUCAGUAUUGAUUGAUUAUUAUUAUCGAUAUUAUUUAAUUAUGAAAAUUAGUAUUAAAUUAAUAUUUAAUCGAUAGAAAUUAAUUCGAUGUAAUAAAUAUAACAUAUGCACGUAUAUUUUAAAACAAAUGCGAAUCAUAUGUAUUAUCAUAUUUAUGCAAAAAAUAUAUUUCACUGAAAUCACAAAUCAUACUUCUAAUCACACAACGUAUUUCCGUAAAUCAUUGUUUUAUUCUAUAAAAAAAUAUAUUUAUGUUUAAUAAUUAUAUUUUUAUCUAUAACUAUUUUCUAAAAUAUACGAUAUUUAAUACAGAGAAAGAAAGUUGUCAUUUUACUAUCCGAAACGAAAAUUCUACCAACCAUAUUUAAUAAUUUCGAUAAUCGAGGUUAUACUGUAUAGAAUGAAACUUACAAGUAUCGCUCAUUAUCGAUAGUUCUUCGAUAUCCCCAAUUAAGAAUAUAUGUAAAUAUUUAAUUCUUAUUUGAUUCUCUAUUCUAUUUUCCGCUAUUUUUCUUUUAUUCCCGCAAAAAAUUUUAAUCUGAAACAAAGAAAAUCAGUGAAUCAGUAAUUGCCUAUCUCACACUAUUUGAAACAUCAGUUUCGCAAAGAAGAGACUAUCGAUAUCGGAGAGUACGCGAUAUCGAGCUCUCGCGUGCAAUAUCCCCCAGUCAAUAACAUCUUCCGGACAUUUAUGCAACGUUCAGAGAGUUGCUAUCAGUGACCAUCCUCCUCACUGGGUAUCCACUGCAAACGUUCUAUGCAUAUCGAAUAGGAUCGUCCGGUACAAUGACCACUUUUCGUGGGCGAAACUUAACCUGCAUACGCUCGGAAACGUUAUCGAUACAUGUUCUCCAUGUCGUCAUUGACGUUCUCUCUGUUCACGUACGAUACGCGUGACUCCAUGUACACGUUUGUGUGAGUGAAGGAUCCGGCCAAUAGGAUCUGAUCAACGAUCACAUGGGACGAAUAUAGCGCUAUCCUUCGAUAGUUACGAAGACUGUCGAUUCUAGAAAGUUGAUGUAGAAGUGCUAUAUCAUGGUAACGAGGAUGUGGAAUAAUGAAAGUGGAUCAAUUUUCGGUCACUGGGUCGCCUUAUGCUGGAACAUCAGAUUUGUGUCGAGUAAUAUUGUUCCGUAAAUCUUUUGCGGGAGAAAAUGCAUUUACGCUUGGAAAAGACUGUUGUGUGUGUUCAACUUGUGGUAUAAGAAAAAAGUUCUAUAGUCUAUGGUUAUAUACACUGGAACAAUUCUCUAUUCGCGCGAAAUUUAGUUGCGAAAACAAAAUUGACCAACAUCGAGGAAUCACUGCGAAGGAAAAGCGGGGAACAGAAGUUGGGCAUGCACGUGAAUAGGUCGACUAAUUGCGAUCUCGAGAAACUGAUUGUUAGAGAUAUGACAAAAUAUUUGGAUGAAGGAUUCUAUUUUAUACUGAUUAUAAAUCAUCAUAUAUAUAUGAAUCCCAGAUAUUUUAAUUAACAAAACAAUAACCAAUUGUACUUCGAUACCUGUUGAAUUUUGGGAACAUUCCAUGUUAAUUUAAUGAUCCGAGGACUAUAAUAGGAGCUUUGGUUCAUUUUUAAAUGAUUAAAUGUUCGUGAACCACCAUAGAAAGACCCUCUUCCUCCGCAUUAUGAUUGUACACCGUGGAGUUAAGUUGAUCGCGAGUUGACGUGUUACGCAUGAAUGGCCAUCGAAAUCAUCGCGCUUGGGCACAAUUACGAUGCCAGAUAACAGAACUGUCGGUCAAUCAGAAUAGCCCAUUAAUUGUCGAUGCGCAAAAACGGAAAUCAGAUAAUUGGAUUUCUGCCGCGUAUCGGUCCGGCUAUACAUAUAUCAAUGCUCGAAUUAUGAGACGAUUAAUAAUCAUUCAACUAUCAUCAAUCAUCUUACCAUCUUAUGAGGGUGUUUGUUGAUUGCCAAUUGAAAAUUUUAAAACAGAGACAGGCCCAUUUUAUUUGAAAUGAAAUAACGAUGUGUGAUUAUUUUAUAUAA
This is a long non-coding RNA of Apis cerana (Asiatic honeybee), 1994 nucleotides long. RefSeq lists it as uncharacterized. Lineage: Eukaryota; Metazoa; Arthropoda; Insecta; Hymenoptera; Apidae. The record is from RefSeq and is a predicted model, not a curated record.